AUGGGAUCGGGGCCGGGGGGCGGUGCGGGGCCGGGGAGGGCGGUGCGGGGCCGCCCCCGGCUCCCGGAGCCAAUGGGGCGGGCGGGGAGGGAGCCCGGCAGGUGCCGGCCCCAGCCCCGGGGCCGGGCCGGGGGGAGCGGAGGGGCCGCGGGCGCCGGGAGCCGGGACCGGGAUCGGGGACCUGGGACACGCCGCUGGUGCCCGCGGGGAGGGGGUUUUGGGGUCCUCCGUGCGGGCUGCUGUGCCCCGCCGCGUGGGCUGGGGGCCCUCUGGUUCCUUUGGCUUUGGGGUGGUUGGGGCGUGGGGGUGCCCCCACUGGGAUGUGGUUGGGUCCAGCCCAGGAUCCCUGGGGAUGCUCCCCGGGGAAGCCGGGCAUCAGACCUCUGUGUCCCGUCCUGUCCCUUCCCUGCUCUCCCCUUCUCUUCCCUUCCUAUCCUUUCCCUUCUGCCCUUCCCUUUUUCCCCUUUUCCCUUCCCAUCCCUUCCCUUCUUCCUUUCCCCUUUUCCCUUCCCAUCCCUUCCCUUUUUCCCCUCCCCUCCCCACUGCCCAGCCCCAGCUCUGCCCCCCCGGGGCCCGGCACCUGCUGGGCGCUGUUUGGCCGCAACCCGCCCCAAAUGCAGAAGUGGAAGCGAAGCUGGGGGGGGGGCACACACAGCUGCAGCCCCCCGCCCCAUUGCUUGGAGCCGCAUCCCUCCCUCCUCUGCUGCAGGACUGCCCUCGGCUUCCCGCGGGUGUUUCCCCCUGGGAUUUGCCCCCGGAGGAUCAAUAGCGGGGGGCCGGGGCCCCCCCGUGGGUGCGGCGAUGGGGCUGGGGCCACUCCAAGACGUGGGGUUUUCUCUGUGGGAAACCCCUUCGUCCCGCAGGGUGGCGGAUGGAUGGUGGGAGCCCUCCCCAGGGCUGCACGUGGGGGAAAAAAAAAAAAAGGGAAAAAAAAAAGGAAAAAAAAAGGAAAAAAAAAAAGGAAAAAAAAGGAAAAAAAAGGAAAAAAAACCACCAAAGCCAGACAAACAAACAAACAAAAACACUUUUACCGGAGGGAAAAUCCGGAUCCCGGAGGACGAGCGGCAGCCGCCCCUUGCGCCCCCCCGGCCGAGGGGGAGCGGCCCCGGGAGCGGGGUCCCGGCGGCGCGCCCGGGGCUCCCCCUGCUGGCGGCGCGCCCCCGCCGGGGCCCUGGAGAAAAGCCCCCGGGGCGCAGCGCUUCGGCAGGCCGCCAGCCUUGCCGGGCCGGGGGCAGCUGGCAAAGCCACGCCUGA
RNAcentral lists this long non-coding RNA (1254 nucleotides) under Anser cygnoides (Swan goose). Its description in RNAcentral is "lncRNA (ENSACDG00005016934.1)". Lineage: Eukaryota; Metazoa; Chordata; Aves; Anseriformes; Anatidae. The record is from RNAcentral.